CCCAUGAACCUUUACUGUAGUCUGGUACUGGAUUCUGGUCAGUUGUAUGUAGAAUAGCCGGGAGGCUUGGAAGCGGUUUCGUCAGGAACCGUGGAGCCGAAAUGUGAAAUACCGGUUUCAGCUGGGCGGAGUUCUAACCGCGAGGAAUCAUCUUCCCGCGGAACAAUGCCAGAGGGUCAGUUUGACUGGGGCGGUUUCCUCCUAAACAGUAACGGAGGAGUUCGAAGGUACACUCAGUGCGGUCAGCAAUCGCACGUCGAGCGCAAGGGUAGAAGUGUGCCUCACUGCGAGUCGGACACGACAAGCAGACGCGAAAGCGGGACCUAGUGAUCCGGCGGUAGCUUGUGGAAGCGCCGUCGCUCAACGGAUAAAAGGUACUCUGGGGAUAACAGGCUGAUCGCGGCCGAGAGUUCACAUCGACGCCGCGGUUUGGCACCUCGAUGUCGGCUCUUCGCAUCCUGGGGCUGGAGAAGGUCCCAAGGGUUUGGCUGUUCGCCAAUUAAAGCGGAACGCGAGCUGGGUUCAAAACGUCGUGAGACAGUUUGGUCCUUAUCCUCUGUGGGCGCAGGAAAAUUGAGGGGAAGAUUCCCUAGUACGAGAGGACCGGGAAUCACGAACCAAUGGUGUUUCGGUUGUCGCGCCAGCGGCAGGCCGGGUAGCUACGUUCGGAACGGAUAAGCGCUGAAAGCAUCUAAGCGCCAAGCCUCCCCCAAGACAAGUUUUCCCAAUCGCAAGAUUCUAAAGUCAGGUUGUAGACCACGACCUUGAUAGGCCGAAGGUGUAAGCGGUGCGAGCCGUUGAGCUGAUCGGUACUAAUCAGACGUGUGGCUUAGCUUA
Molecule: ribosomal RNA, 837 nt
Filed under: Verrucomicrobia bacterium UBA7550
Lineage: Bacteria; Pseudomonadati; Verrucomicrobiota
Description: bacterial LSU rRNA
Rfam family: Bacterial large subunit ribosomal RNA
Source: RNAcentral